RNAcentral lists this ribosomal RNA (303 nucleotides) under uncultured bacterium. RNAcentral describes it as "partial 16S ribosomal RNA". It matches the Rfam family "Bacterial small subunit ribosomal RNA", at positions 507 to 807 of the family's 1533-position model. The record is from RNAcentral.
AGCAGCCGCCACGGGAAUACAGAGGAUGGAAGCGUUAUCCGGAAUGAUUGGGCAUAAAGCGUCUGUAGGUGGCUUUUCAAGUCCUCCGUCAAAUCCCCGGGCUCAACCCUGGACAGGCAGUUGAAACUACCAAGCUGGAGUACGGCAGGGACAGAGGGAAUUUCUGGUGGAGCGGUGAAAUGCGUUGAGAUCGGAAAGAACACCAACGGUGAAAGCACUCUGUUGGGCCGACACUGACACUGAGAGACGAAAGCUAGGGGAGCAAAUGGGAUUAGAUACCCGGGUAGUCCCUGUCUCUUAUAC